UCGUUUCGGACCAUAAUUGAACUAUAUGUUGGAGACCAUAGUAGAAGUCGUUGUGUACAAUUUCGGCCAAUUCAAAUAAAAAUUGAGCUCUUUAGGGGCUCAAGAAAUAAAAUAGGAAGUUCGGUUUAAACGGGAAUUGUAUCAGAAGUGUGAUAGAAGUUGUUGUACAAAAUUGCAGCCAAAUCGGGUCUUUAGCUUUCGGUGUAUGGCAACAAGAUAUUAGAAGGUAGCGUCUAUUCCAGUAUCUACACAUAUUGUAGAUAUUUUUCAUUGAAACCUUGUUGAAGAUUCAUGAUGGUGGGCACACAAAAGUUUGGCACGGCCAGAGUUAAUGCCACGUCCA
This is a long non-coding RNA of Stomoxys calcitrans (stable fly), 343 nucleotides long. RefSeq lists it as uncharacterized. The transcript is spliced from 3 exons. NCBI's taxonomy places the organism in Eukaryota, Metazoa, Arthropoda, Insecta, Diptera, Muscidae. The record is from RefSeq and is a predicted model, not a curated record.